This is a non-coding RNA of Coturnix japonica (Japanese quail), 2077 nucleotides long. The record is from RefSeq and is a predicted model, not a curated record. Lineage: Eukaryota; Metazoa; Chordata; Aves; Galliformes; Phasianidae.
AGGCCCAAAGACCAGGAAUGCAACAAAUAAGUAACCCUCUGCUGUAGUGGAGAAUGGUAUUGUCUCACUACAGGUGCUUCUUUCAGUGUAGUAAUUUACAUUAUAUACCAGAAAUGUGGCAAAAAGCCUGAGGUUUAAAUCCUGUCACCUUUGCUGAAGUCACCUCAGCACAAUACUGCAAACUGAGAAGGGCCAGAUGUUGAAAUUCCACAGUGGAAAGCCACUUUCUUUUUCUCAUCAUUCUUCUGUCUUGGAGAACUGUCAAAUCAGUUAAGAAACUGAGGGGUGGGCUUGCUGAGGACUGUGUAGAACGCCAAGCUAUUCAGAGAGCCUCACCUCUGAGAAAGCAGCAGUCUGCAGCAGGUACCAUGCUUCCUCCUCUGCCCACUCCAAAAUACUGCCCACUAAGUUGUACAAUCCACAGAAACCUUUUGCUAUAGUUUUCCUGUUAGAAGUUUGAGCCACAAUUGUUACUUUAAAACCCAGAGGAGAGAUUGCAGCAGUUACAUGCAGUAACAGUGAAACUAAAGAUAGCCCAGCAUUUGCUCUGGCCCAGGUGCCUUGGGGUGGCUGGCAGGACUCAAUGUUGACAUGUUGGGCCUGGACCCUUCUGGAACUUUGUCUUUCCCAUGAAGCUUGAUUAAAAAGCUAUCAAAUAUAUUUUUUCACAUCUGACUGGGCUCCUCACAAUCAGAGGUAGUCAACUGUCACACUGAUCCAACCUCUUAAGAACCCACCUUUGAUGAGGAGGAGCUAGUUCAACCACGCAGGUGUCGCUGGGCUUUCAAACAGAAGGAAGCAGAGUUUUCUUUUUAUUUAAUUCAGCUGAAACACCUGCUGUUACAGCUCCCCUAGACACAAUGACAGCCCUGCUCCUCCUAUGGCUCACAAACAAGGAUGUGCUGCAGCUCCCUGAGAUAGGCUGUGGUCCAGUUCUGCUGCUGAAGGGAUACAGUUGUCCUCCUCUUUCCUACAGUCUCACAGUAAGUUUUCACCAGUGCUGAUACAGUCACCAACCGACUCAGCUCAGUCACGCAGAAGAAAACUGACCUGACAACGGUUUUCUCCCACGUUGGUGAUUUGAACAGGCUCGUUAAAUUGUACAACCAACAGUACAGCAGCCUGCACCAGGGAUGGGCAAACACCACGCAACCAGGAGCAGAAAAAAGGGAAGGAGUAAGAUGUCUGUCUGUUGAGAGCCACAUACAGUAGUGUCAGCUCAGACAAAAUGAGGGCAGCAGGCUCCUGCUGGUACCACACUGCAGUGUUUCUGCACACUGCCCUUUUCCACGCCUUCCCUCCCUCAGUAUUGCCCAGAAUGCUCCUAUCAGUACAGAAGAGAAUAAUUUGGAUGAGUCUCAUAAGGAGCAGAAGCCCUACUUUUGUCUAAUGCUCUCCACAACAUAUGAAGGCUUUAAUUUACAAACCCUGCGUAUAUUCCAAGUCUCUUGGAGGAGUGGACAGGCACCAGCAGAGUUUGAGACGGGGCCAACUGUACAGAGCCAGAGAAAGAGCCAUCAGGGAAAAGCAAGAAAAUAUUGCUUCCCAUCUAUCAUUCUAAGGGGUAUAAAAGAUCAGUUGGAUGGGAAGAGAUUCCACAUUCAUCUCUUGGAAGGGUACAAGGGAAAGACUGAUUUUUGAAUAGUGGUAAAGAAUGAGAAGGAGUGGGGCAGUAUCUACCAGAAAAAUACAUGCAAUACUCGAGCCAAAACACAACAGCAGGUUGUGCUGUAUCUGGAGAGAUGGUUAAAAAGAUUGCAGCAAGGCACUGCAGAGAACAGGGACGGGAGGUUAGGAGUUAGAGCAGAGAAACAACAAAGAACAGCGCAGAGGAAGUGAACACAAUAGUUGCUAAACAUGUGGAAGGUGCUUAAGCAAAGUAAAUAAGUGGUGUAACAAACCGUACGUGUACACGGUAUUAAAGUCUGGGAGCAGCUGCAGCCCAUGUUCAUUCACUCCUACUAUCUUACACAUAUAAAAACUUAAACUUAGUGAAGCGAUCAAGUGCUGCAGCAAAAAGAACGAGAUCCAUGUGAUCCAACUUGGCUAUAAAUACAGCAAUAAUCUGAGAAUUUUG